GAGGGCGACAAAAAAUAAAACAGAAAAUAUUUUUAGAUAAAGAAUCCCUUUAUUCUGCAAAUACAAGAGUCAUCGACUCUACAAAGGACUGCAAUAUUAGAAGAGCUAUUGCCAUUUAUAAUGUGAUAUACAUAUCAAAUACUUCUAUACGUUACUUAUCUAUUUAAUAAAUAAUUUACUUUUAGCUAUCAUUUACACAGCUUAUUUAACAGCAUCAAAACGUUGAUUCGUUCAAGGCUCGGACAUACAAAGCGCGAAAUGUGACACUACGCUUAUUUACACCUAUUUAGCCAAGUGUACACUAGCAAUUAAACUUGCAGAUGUCAGAUCUGGCAAACCACUUGCACCGUAGAACACUCGCAAGUCAAUUUCUGCAAAAAAAUUGUGUAACCGUGUAGAUAAUCGCAGGAAGUCAAUUACCAGCAAAAAAAAACACGCAAACUGGGAACCCACUUGCACCAUACUUGCUCUGUGUAAACACUUGCAGUAACCAAUUUCCGCAAGAAAACUAGUAGAAACUGAUAUUCAGCAAGUGUUUACGCAAUACAAACUUGUCAAAAAAAAAUUGUAGAAGUUACGUUCUGUAGAAUUUUACUUUCAAAAAUUAACUGUCAUGUCAACAUCAGCUUCUGCAAGUUUUUCCAUUGCAUUGCAACUCUCGCAAUUUUUUGCGCGUGUUUACACAGUGCAAGUGACUUACCAAAGCUAACUUAUGCAAGUCUUAUAGCUAGUGGACUAUAUGAGCUCCGCAGUUCCUAGGAGCAAAGUACGAUUUAAAUUCUAUAUCGCGUUCUGCAUGACCGAGCCUUCAUUCAUAACAAGCACGUUUACUUUGAGUCUAACGCUAACUUACACCAAAAUAAAUAAUGAAUCGUGAAGAUAGCAAACCUAUUUCAGACAUAGUCUGAAUAUAUCGGCUAGUCGAGACUCCAAUAUGGAUUAUUUACUGCAUGUAUAAUCAGUAUUUCUGCAUGCAUAAUCAGUAUUUACUGCAUGUAUAAUCAGUAUUUACUGCAUGAAUAAUCGUAUUUACUGCAUGUAUAAUCAGUAUUUACUGCAUGUAUUACCAUAAUUUUUUAAGUAUUGAACUAACUUCAAUUAAUUUCAUUUCAUAUCGCACACUGCCAUAACAACCACAACAUUUUUUACACAGAAUUCUGUAUGAGGUAAUAGAAACGGUAUGUGCUGUUCUUUAAUACCAGACGUUUUGUGGAUUUUUAGCGGUGGUACUUAUUAUAACAGUGAGAACUUUUCCACCUAGCCAUGGAGAAGAAUGUAAACUCAAACGCUAUGCAAAUAAGUUUGCUUUUACAAAAAUGCGCAUUGGUAAUUUGCGUGGCGAAAAGCUCUGAUUAUGGCACUUCUAUUCCUUUUCUGAAUUCUGUGUAAAAAAAAUGCGGUGGCUAUUUAAAACUGGUUAGUUAUCAAAAUAUGAAAAACAAUGAAAAUUAAAGCAUACAUUUUUUUUAUUAUUUUGAAAAUAAAUUGUUCAUCAAUUUACUAUCAAAAUUCAAAGUCCUUAAAUUGAAAAUGAAUUACCUAAACUUUCAACACUGUUUUGGUUAAUUAAUUCCUAAUACUGUUUAUUACAUGGUGUACAUACACAUCAUACAUUUGACAUGUAUAGGGCCCGGUUUCCACGUAAGCGGAGCGGAGCAGAGAGAUGUAUUUAGUCGAUCAAUCAGAUUUUAAAACAUGCCCUAAUUUUUUCACGACAUUAAGAAUCUGGUUGGUUGACUGAAACGGAGCCUAAGCCGUGUAUAAAAGCCUUGUAUUAAAAUAUUAGUAGCAAAUUAUACAAUACAAUCAGUACUGUUACAUUCAUAGCGAAGUCUCGAUUUCGCCCCACUAGCUACCUAUAGGAACCAGAGCUUCUAAUAAUAUUCUCCUAAAAUUCGCGAGCUUACAAGUAAACUUAUACAUCUAGCCAAUACUAUGUCACUGGAAAGAUCAGGUAAUUUUCAAUAUAGUGAAAAAUCACACUAAAGGCAGAUUUACAUCAAAACAGUCACUGGCGACAGCGCCUCUGUUAAAUUUA
This is a long non-coding RNA of Maniola jurtina (meadow brown), 2038 nucleotides long. RefSeq lists it as uncharacterized. The transcript has 3 exons. The record is from RefSeq and is a predicted model, not a curated record. Lineage: Eukaryota; Metazoa; Arthropoda; Insecta; Lepidoptera; Nymphalidae.